UGCAGUCGAGCGGAUGACGGGAGCUUGCUCCCUGAUUUAGCGGCGGACGGGUGAGUAAUGCCUAGGAAUCUGCCUGGUAGUGGGGGAUAACGUUCCGAAAGGAACGCUAAUACCGCAUACGUCCUACGGGAGAAAGCAGGGGACCUUCGGGCCUUGCGCUAUCAGAUGAGCCUAGGUCGGAUUAGCUAGUUGGUGAGGUAAUGGCUCACCAAGGCGACGAUCCGUAACUGGUCUGAGAGGAUGAUCAGUCACACUGGAACUGAGACACGGUCCAGACUCCUACGGGAGGCAGCAGUGGGGAAUAUUGGACAAUGGGCGAAAGCCUGAUCCAGCCAUGCCGCGUGUGUGAAGAAGGUCUUCGGAUUGUAAAGCACUUUAAGUUGGGAGGAAGGGCAUUAACCUAAUACGUUAGUGUUUUGACGUUACCGACAGAAUAAGCACCGGCUAACUUCGUGCCAGCAGCCGCGGUAAUACGAAGGGUGCAAGCGUUAAUCGGAAUUACUGGGCGUAAAGCGCGCGUAGGUGGUUCAGUAAGUUGGAUGUGAAAUCCCCGGGCUCAACCUGGGAACUGCAUCCAAAACUGCUGAGCUAGAGUACGGUAGAGGGUGGUGGAAUUUCCUGUGUAGCGGUGAAAUGCGUAGAUAUAGGAAGGAACACCAGUGGCGAAGGCGACCACCUGGACUGAUACUGACACUGA
This 697-nucleotide ribosomal RNA is filed under the name Ectopseudomonas alcaliphila. Its description in RNAcentral is "bacterial SSU rRNA". It matches the Rfam family "Bacterial small subunit ribosomal RNA", at positions 56 to 749 of the family's 1533-position model. Lineage: Bacteria; Pseudomonadati; Pseudomonadota; Gammaproteobacteria; Pseudomonadales; Pseudomonadaceae. The record is from RNAcentral.